RNAcentral lists this ribosomal RNA (116 nucleotides) under Octodon degus (degu). Lineage: Eukaryota; Metazoa; Chordata; Mammalia; Rodentia; Octodontidae. The record is from RNAcentral.
UCUACAGCCAUCUUAGGCUGAAUUUGCCCAAUCUCUUCUGAUUUUAGAGGAUAAGCCAGGCCGAGCCUGCUUAGAACUUGGAUGGGGGACAGUCUGAGGCUUGAGAACUGCCAGGA